Molecule: ribosomal RNA, 695 nt
Filed under: uncultured bacterium
Lineage: Bacteria
Description: bacterial SSU rRNA
Rfam family: Bacterial small subunit ribosomal RNA
Source: RNAcentral
AACGCUAGCUACAGGCUUAACACAUGCAAGUCGAGGGGCAGCAUGAUUUGUAGCAAUACAGAUUGAUGGCGACCGGCGCACGGGUGAGUAACGCGUAUGCAACUUACCUAUCAGAGGGGGAUAGCCCGGCGAAAGUCGGAUUAAUACCCCAUAAAACAGGGGUCCCGCAUGGGAAUAUUUGUUAAAGAUUCAUCGCUGAUAGAUAGGCAUGCGUUCCAUUAGGCAGUUGGCGGGGUAACGGCCCACCAAACCGACGAUGGAUAGGGGUUCUGAGAGGAAGGUCCCCCACAUUGGUACUGAGACACGGACCAAACUCCUACGGGAGGCAGCAGUGAGGAAUAUUGGUCAAUGGCCGAGAGGCUGAACCAGCCAAGUCGCGUGAAGGAAGAAGGAUCUAUGGUUUGUAAAUUUCUUUUAUAGGGGAAUAAAGUGGAGGACGUGUCCUUUUUUGUAUGUACCCUAUGAAUAAGCAUCGGCUAACUCCGUGCCAGCAGCCGCGGUAAUACGGAGGAUGCGAGCGUUAUCCGGAUUUAUUGGGUUUAAAGGGUGCGUAGGUGGUGAUUUAAGUCAGCGGUGAAAGUUUGUGGCUCAACCAUAAAAUUGCCGUUGAAACUGGGUUACUUGAGUGUGUUUGAGGUAGGCGGAAUGCGUGGUGUAGCGGUGAAAUGCAUAGAUAUCACGAAGAACUCCGAUUG